Panicum virgatum (switchgrass) is the source of this 1321-nucleotide long non-coding RNA. RefSeq lists it as uncharacterized. The record is from RefSeq and is a predicted model, not a curated record. The transcript is spliced from 2 exons. Lineage: Eukaryota; Viridiplantae; Streptophyta; Magnoliopsida; Poales; Poaceae.
UCCUCCUUCCCAGCAGCCGUCCCCCACCCCCUCCGCAGCGCCCGGCGGCGCCCCAGGCCUCAGCGCCACGGCCCUCGGAUCCCUCGCGUCGGCGUGCCCAGGACCCAGCGGCCAGCGCCCCCGCCCCUCCCUCCUCCGGUCCUCCUCGCAGCUUGGUCCAAGGCCACGCGCCCAGGCUAGCACAGGUGCCCAGCGCGGCCCCCGACGCCCUCGCUCCUUGCCCAGAGGCGACGCGCGCAGGCGGCCUCUCGGCCAGGCCGCCAGGCGCCUAGGCCCCUGAUUGGCCGAUUCCCUCCCAGCAGGCAACGCUCCCCUAUUACUUGUGUUAAUCUGCAUGCAACAAUGAUUCUUGUUUGUGUGCAACAAUGACUCUUCAUUAAUUGCAGAUUGUGUUUGCUAUAUAUAUUAAUUUUUGCUUGCUGUUAAAUUAAAUUUUAUGUUUGAUUUUUUUAAAUUUGCAGGUACACAGGCGUGCCGUGGGUAUCUGCGGACAGCAGGACCAUUCAGUUUCAGCGGAACCCGCCCGGUGAGCACCUCUAGAAGGAUGGCGCCGAAGCUGUAGACAUCACUCUUAUCGGUAAGUUGGCAUGUCUGCAUGUAUUCAGGGUCAAGGUAACCACAGGUACCUUGAACCACAGUCACGUACUGCUCGUUGUCAGAUGGGACUAGAAUGGAGGCUCCAAAGUCCGACACUUUGGCCAUGUAGCUGUCAUUGAGCAGAAUGUUGGUGGUCUUCACAUCACCAUGUAGAAUCGGGGGAAGAUGCGUAUGAAUGUAGGAAGCGAAGUCCCUCAGCUGCUUCCAUGUGCAAGCUGACGUUGAAGUACCUGGACUGUGAGCACUGCGAGCCGAUGCCGAACGGGUAGAGCAUCUCGACGUCGCCGCAGUGUCUCCGGCACUAAGCCAGGAACAACCGCGAUUUCGGGGGCAUGUUGCGAUGCGACGCAAGAAGCAGUAGAGCAAGGGAGAGCUUCAGGAUCACUUCCAUACUCGUCGGUUGGAGAAUUGAAACCAUGACAUUAUUGUAGCUUAGCAUUCAGCUUAAUCGAUUGGCACCACAAAGAUUAUCGGUCUAGGGGAGGAGCUGAUCUGAUCAUGAAAAGAUGAACAUAAAGCAAACGAUAUAACACAAGUUUGGCAAAUUUCAGCUCAAAGAAUUAUGGAAGUUCAGUUUCGGUGAGCAGAAGUGCCAGAGGAGAUAGUUGAUCUUCCCUCUGAUGCCAAGAACGCUGAAUCUUUGGAGAUUUUGUAACACCCUAAUUUAAAUUUCAGUAUUUAAUAAUAAAUUUAAUUGGUUUUAUUUAAUUUUCUAAAGUUUAUU